RNAcentral lists this ribosomal RNA (253 nucleotides) under uncultured bacterium. RNAcentral describes it as "partial 16S ribosomal RNA". It matches the Rfam family "Bacterial small subunit ribosomal RNA", at positions 524 to 776 of the family's 1533-position model. The record is from RNAcentral.
UACGUAGGGGGCAAGCGUUGUCCGGAAUUAUUGGGCGUAAAGAGCGCGUAGGCGGUCCGGUAAGUCGGCUGUGAAAGUCAAGGGCUCAACCCUCGAAUGCCGGUGGAUACUGUCGGGCUAGAGUCCGGAAGAGGCGAGUGGAAUUCCUGGUGUAGCGGUGGAAUGCGCAGAUAUCAGGAGGAACACCGAUGGCGAAGGCAGCUCGCUGGGACGGUACUGACGCUGAGGCGCGAAAGCGUGGGGAGCGAACAGG